AGGGGCGGGUUAGGAGGCGUAGUGACUGCGGAGGAUCAUUACUGUGAAUAUAACUUCCACACAUGCGUGAGCGCACAAAACACACAAACCGUGAGUAUUUCUAGUCGAAAACAAAACAAAAAAUACAAAACUUUCAACAACGGAUCUCUUGGUUCUCGCAUCGAUGAAGAGCGCAGCGAAAUGCGAUACCUAGUGUGAAUUGCAGCCAUCGUGAAUCAUCGAGUUCUUGAACGCACAUUGCGCCCGUCGGUAUUCCGGCGGGCAUGCCUGUCUGAGCGUCGUUUCCUUCUUGAAGCUUUUUUUUUUUUAAAAAAAGAUUCAAAAUUGGCCGUGCCACUGGCCCGGCCGAAAAGAAACGUUGCGGACGAAGCGAACUACAUCGGGACGCUUUUGCCGCCGAGCGAAAAUAUAUCAUUGAGCUCGACCUCAGAUCAGGUAGGAGUACCCGCUGAACUUAAGCAUAUCAAUAAGCGGAGGAAAAGAAACCAACAGGGAUUGCCCCAGUAGCGGCGAGUGAAGCGGCAAGAGCUCAGAUUUGAAAUCGUGUUUCGGCACGAGUUGUAGAGUGUAGGCGGGAGUCUCUGUGGAGCGCGGUGUCCAAGUCCCUUGGAACAGGGUGCCUGAGAGGGUGAGAGCCCCGUAGGGUGCUGCGCGAAGCUUUUGAGGCCCUGCUGACGAGUCGAGUUGUUUGGGAAUGCAGCUCCAAGCGGGUGGUAAAUUCCAUCUAAGGCUAAAUAUUGGCGAGAGACCGAUAGCGAACAAGUACUGUGAAGGAAAGAUGAAAAGCACUUUGAAAAGAGAGUGAAACAGCACGUGAAAUUGUUGAAAGGGAAGGGUAUUGGGCUCGACAUGGGGGGUGCGCACCGCUGUCUCUUGUAGGCGGCGCUCUGGGCGCCCUCUGGGCCAGCAUCGGUUCCUGCUGCGGGAGAAGGGGCUCCGGAAAGUGGCUCUUCGGAGUGUUAUAGCCGGGGCCAGAUGCCGCGUGUGGGGACCGAGGACUGCGGCUUCUGUCUCGGAUGCUGCUCGGGGGGCGCGUUGGAAUCCCAUCGCG
RNAcentral lists this ribosomal RNA (1051 nucleotides) under Pichia sp. feni 101. RNAcentral's name for it is "eukaryotic LSU rRNA". The stretch from base 422 to 1051 matches the Rfam family "Eukaryotic large subunit ribosomal RNA", at positions 1 to 656 of the family's 3401-position model. The record is from RNAcentral. Lineage: Eukaryota; Fungi; Ascomycota; Pichiomycetes; Pichiales; Pichiaceae.